GUAGGAUAGGUGGGAGGCUUUGAAGUGUGGACGCCAGUCUGCAUGGAGCCGGCCUUGAAAUACCACCCUUUAAUGUUUGAUGUUCUAACGUUGACCCGUUAUCCGGGUUGCGGACAGUGUCUGGUGGGUAGUUUGACUGGGGCGGUCUCCUCCUAAAGAGUAACGGAGGAGCACGAAGGUUGGCUAAUCCUGGUCGGACAUCAGGAGGUUAGUGCAAUGGCAUAAGCCAGCUUGACUGCGAGCGUGACGGCGCGAGCAGGUGCGAAAGCAGGUCAUAGUGAUCCGGUGGUUCUGAAUGGAAGGGCCAUCGCUCAACGGAUAAAAGGUACUCCGGGGAUAACAGGCUGAUACCGCCCAAGAGUUCAUAUCGACGGCGGUGUUUGGCACCUCGAUGUCGGCUCAUCACAUCCUGGGGCUGAAGUAGGUCCCAAGGGUAUGGCUGUUCGCCAUUUAAAGUGGUACGCGAGCUGGGUUUAGAACGUCGUGAGACAGUUCGGUCCCUAUCUGCCGUGGGCGCUGGAGAACUGAGGGGGGCUGCUCCUAGUACGAGAGGACCGGAGUGGACGCAUCACUGGUGUUCGGGUUGUCAUGCCAAUGGCACUGCCCGGUAGCUAAAUGCGGAAGAGAUAAGUGCUGAAAGCAUCUAAGCACGAAACUUGCCCCGAGAUGAGUUCUCCCUGACUCCUUGAGAGUCCUGAAGGAACGUUGAAGACGACGACGUUGAUAGGCCGGGUGUGUAAGCGCAGCGAUGCGUUGAGCUAACCGGUACUAAUGAACCGUGAG
This 783-nucleotide ribosomal RNA is filed under the name Escherichia coli. RNAcentral's name for it is "partial 23S ribosomal RNA". It matches the Rfam family "Bacterial large subunit ribosomal RNA", at positions 2138 to 2915 of the family's 2925-position model. Lineage: Bacteria; Pseudomonadati; Pseudomonadota; Gammaproteobacteria; Enterobacterales; Enterobacteriaceae. The record is from RNAcentral.